Molecule: ribosomal RNA, 850 nt
Filed under: uncultured bacterium
Lineage: Bacteria
Description: bacterial SSU rRNA
Rfam family: Bacterial small subunit ribosomal RNA
Source: RNAcentral
GCAGUCGAACGGCAGCACGGGCUUCGGCCUGGUGGCGAGUGGCGAACGGGUGAGUAAUACAUCGGAACGUACCCAGAAGUGGGGGAUAACGCAGCGAAAGUUGCGCUAAUACCGCAUACGUUCUACGGAAGAAAGUGGGGGAUCUUCGGACCUCAUGCUUUUGGAGCGGCCGAUGUCUGAUUAGCUAGUUGGUAGGGUAAAGGCCUACCAAGGCGACGAUCAGUAGCUGGUCUGAGAGGACGACCAGCCACACUGGAACUGAGACACGGUCCAGACUCCUACGGGAGGCAGCAGUGGGGAAUUUUGGACAAUGGGCGCAAGCCUGAUCCAGCAAUGCCGCGUGAGUGAAGAAGGCCUUCGGGCUGUAAAGCUCUUUUGUCAGGGAAGAAACGGCUGAGGCUAAUAUCCUCGGCUAAUGACGGUACCUGAAGAAUAAGCACCGGCUAACUACGUGCCAGCAGCCGCGGUAAUACGUAGGGUGCAAGCGUUAAUCGGAAUUACUGGGCGUAAAGCGUGCGCAGGCGGUUUUGUAAGUCUGUCGUGAAAGCCCCGGGCUCAACCUGGGAAUUGCGAUGGAGACUGCAAGGCUUGAAUCUGGCAGAGGGGGGUAGAAUUCCACGUGUAGCAGUGAAAUGCGUAGAGAUGCGGAGGAACACCGAUGGCGAAGGCAAUCCCCUGGGCCUGCACUGACGCUCAUGCACGAAAGCGUGGGGAGCAAACAGGAUUAGAUACCCUGGUAGUCCACGCCCUAAACGAUGUCAACUGGUUGUUGGGAAUUAACUUUCUCAGUAACGAAGCUAACGCGUGAAGUUGACCGCCUGGGGAGUACGGCCGCAAGGUUGAAACUCAA